GCAUUUGUUUAAAGUAGAUUACAGCGACACCUUCGGUCUGAACCGUUGGUGUUUUUAAGGGACAAAGACUCUGUUUCCCAUGAGCACUAGCUCCUACUGUCAUAAGGGCAGAACUCUGGCCAAGGUGGCACUAACUUUGAA
Long non-coding RNA from Sphaeramia orbicularis (orbiculate cardinalfish), 141 nucleotides. RefSeq lists it as uncharacterized. The record is from RefSeq and is a predicted model, not a curated record. The transcript is spliced from 3 exons. Lineage: Eukaryota; Metazoa; Chordata; Actinopteri; Kurtiformes; Apogonidae.